UACGUAGGGGGCUAGCGUUGUCCGGAAUCAUUGGGCGUAAAGAGCGCGUAGGCCGCUCGGUAAGUCCGCUGUAAAAGUCAAAGGCUUAACCUUUGAAUGUCAGUGGAAACUGCCGGGCUAGAGUCCGGAAGAGGCGAGUGGAAUUCCUGGUGUAGCGGUGGAAUGCGCAGAUAUCAGGAGGAACACCAACGGCGAAGGCAGCUCGCUGGGACGGUACUGACGCUGAGGCGCGAAAGCGUGGGGAGCGAACAGG
This 253-nucleotide ribosomal RNA is filed under the name uncultured bacterium. Its description in RNAcentral is "partial 16S ribosomal RNA". It matches the Rfam family "Bacterial small subunit ribosomal RNA", at positions 524 to 776 of the family's 1533-position model. The record is from RNAcentral.